GACGAACGCUGGCGGCGUGCUUAACACGUGCAAGUCGAACGCUGAAGCUCAGCUUUUGUUGGGUGGAUGAGUGGCGAACGGGUGAGUAACACGUGAGUAACCUGCCCCCUUCUUUGGGAUAACGCCCGGAAACGGGUGCUAAUACUGGAUAUUCACUGGUCUUCGCAUGGGGGUUGGUGGAAAGGGUUUUUCUGGUGGGGGAUGGGCUCGCGGCCUAUCAGCUUGUUGGUGGGGUGAUGGCCUACCAAGGCUUUGACGGGUAGCCGGCCUGAGAGGGUGACCGGUCACAUUGGGACUGAGAUACGGCCCAGACUCCUACGGGAGGCAGCAGUGGGGAAUAUUGCACAAUGGGCGCAAGCCUGAUGCAGCGACGCCGCGUGAGGGAUGGAGGCCUUCGGGUUGUGAACCUCUUUCGCUCAUGGUCAAGCCGCAACAAUGGUUGUGGUGAGGGUAGUGGGUAAAGAAGCGCCGGCUAACUACGU
RNAcentral lists this ribosomal RNA (482 nucleotides) under uncultured bacterium. Its description in RNAcentral is "partial 16S ribosomal RNA". It matches the Rfam family "Bacterial small subunit ribosomal RNA", at positions 28 to 506 of the family's 1533-position model. The record is from RNAcentral.